GAUGAACGCUGGCGGCGUGCCUAAUACAUGCAAGUCGAGCGAACAGACGAGGAGCUUGCUCCUCUAACGUUAGCGGCGGACGGGUGAGUAACACGUGGAUAACCUACCUAUAAGACUGGGAUAACUUCGGGAAACCGGAGCUAAUACCGGAUAAUAUAUUGAACCGCAUGGUUCAAUAGUGAAAGACGGUUUUGCUGUCACUUAUAGAUGGAUCCGCGCCGCAUUAGCUAGUUGGUAAGGUAACAGCUUACCAAGGCAACGAUGCGUAGCCGACCUGAGAGGGGGAUGGGCCACACGGGAACUGAGACACGGUCCAGACUCCUACGGGAGGCAGCAGUAGGGAAUCUUACGCAAUGGGCGAAAGCCUGACGGAGCAACGCCGCGUGAGUGAUGAAGGUCUUCGGAUCGUAAAACUCUGUUAUUAGGGAAGAAAAAAUGUGUAAGUAAAUAUGCACGUCUUGACGGUACCUAAUCAGAAAGCCACGGCUAACUACGU
RNAcentral lists this ribosomal RNA (496 nucleotides) under uncultured bacterium. RNAcentral's name for it is "partial 16S ribosomal RNA". It matches the Rfam family "Bacterial small subunit ribosomal RNA", at positions 28 to 506 of the family's 1533-position model. The record is from RNAcentral.